Larimichthys crocea (large yellow croaker) is the source of this 570-nucleotide long non-coding RNA. RefSeq lists it as uncharacterized. The record is from RefSeq and is a predicted model, not a curated record. NCBI's taxonomy places the organism in Eukaryota, Metazoa, Chordata, Actinopteri, Sciaenidae. The transcript is spliced from 4 exons.
GUUAAAAGCUGUUUACUACCGUUGGUUACCGCUAAAACGUUAACGGUUUAAAUCUCACCGCCAUACGGGGGCGCGAGCAGGAAUUCGCCUGUUCUAUGUCUCGAGACAUUAACGCAGUCGAUAGUUGAGUCCCAUGCCUGCAAACAGGAAGACACUGGAGACGAUGAGGAGGAUCCCACAGCCCUGGGUUUCAACAUGCAGCAUACUCUGGAGCUUUUGAUCAUAUCAAACAAUCAUCUUCAGAAUGAGCUUUUCAGCCAACAUGGUCAAGAAGUUUUCAAAAAAAUGGAAAUGUGAUCUGCUGAGGAAGAUCAUGCACUACAACUGAAAGAUCAGGCAGCUACUACAUAAAGAUGAACAGAGAGGUGGUGAAGUUUACCACCACCAGCCUCAUGACCUUCUUGAAUGCACGUCUGCAGAAACUCAUCAGCCACAUGAGGUUAUGUGUGGAUUGUUGUACAGUGUUUCUAAAUCUGUAUCUGCCCUAUGAAGUACAGUGAAUAUGUAUUUAUAUAUACCAUGUAUCUAUAAUCAGCCCGCCUCAGGAAGCAAGAAGACGAAGAAGAAGAA